This 253-nucleotide ribosomal RNA is filed under the name uncultured bacterium. Its description in RNAcentral is "partial 16S ribosomal RNA". It matches the Rfam family "Bacterial small subunit ribosomal RNA", at positions 524 to 776 of the family's 1533-position model. The record is from RNAcentral.
UACGUAGGGUGCAAGCGUUAAUCGGAAUUACUGGGCGUAAAGCGUGCGCAGGCGGUUUUGUAAGUCUGACGUGAAAUCCCCGGGCUCAACCUGGGGAUUGCGUUGGAGACUGCAAGGCUAGAAUCUGGCAGAGGGGGGUAGAAUUCCACGUGUAGCAGUGAAAUGCGUAGAGAUGUGGAGGAACACCGAUGGCGAAGGCAGCCCCCUGGGUCAAGAUUGACGCUCAUGCACGAAAGCGUGGGGAGCAAACAGG